CUGAGAAGUAAUAACUUUUCUCUUUCCCCUCUCGUUGGGUUCUUCUUCCCUCUGGGUUUAGUCUUGCUGCCCAUUGAUCCUCUUGGUUCAAAUUUGUUCCACCAUGUGUUGCUUGGACCCUUUUGGCUGUUCCUUUAUGGAGGUGCUUUUGCUGGGAAACUUUUGAUUAAAUGGCUUCCCUUUGAGCUUCACCGUGUUGUCUUCAUCUCCUCUAAAAUGGCCAUGGAUGGGUCUUCUCUGCUAGAUGGUGGUAAUGUCAUGGUUUCCAGGGCAUUCUCGUGCGGGUCAAACUAGAAAUUGGGUUGGGUGUCUCUGGGCGUCGGGCCUUUAGUUAUCUGGGUUGGAACGACCUCUAGGGCCGUUUUUUUUUAAUUAAGGCACGGUGUUAUAUGUUUGAGAUUCUAAUUGGAUCCUCUGUCUAAGGCAUUUUUUCUGCAAUUAAUAUUUUAUCUUUUGACAAAAAAAAAAAAAACAAAAGAAAAUUCGAAAUGAGAGAAAUUAUCUCAGAACUUAGAUGAUAAUCAGCCAUUCUUUGUUCAUUGAGGUGCUCAUACACUUCUUCCUCUAACAGUAGUACUUUGGCAGUAAAAUUCAAGAGAUGACCCAAAUCAAAAUUUAUGAGAAGAGACGAAAUGUAAGCUUAUGCCAUCUAAUAAUUUCACCUGUUUUUUGGAUCUUCAUAUGUCAAAGAAAGAGACAAGGACUUCAUACAUAUGUGCCCUAAAGCCAUAUUGAUGGUAUUGGUUCAAUUAAAGAUACGAAUGAUACCAAAAUCUGGCCCUGUACAGAAUUUUUCCUAAUGCAAAGUUAAUGAAAUAAGAAGAAAAAACAAACCCUUACAAUAUAAGCAGGUUCUCAAUCUAUGUGUUAAACAAAACAAGGUCGACAACAAAUGCUGAGAAAGCAUAUUGAAGAUCCCUGCAACAUUCACAUAGGAACAACCGGAACGUUCUGAUGACUGCUCUGCUCCAAAUGUCAAUACUUCAACAUCCCAUAUCUUAAGAAAUCCUUCUCAAUUCAAAGGAACUCUAACAAAAAGGAAGAGUGUAACAAGUUCAAAAGCAGCUAAUCCGUUCUUCUGGUCUCAAAAUUGCAUCAUCACACACCUCUAGCUCCUACUACUUGAUAAUGUCAGCAUCUAACAAUCAAGCCAAAGCAAAAUUUGCAUUUUUCUUCUUUAAGAAUCACAUCUAGCAAAUCCCACAGGAACGAAUCAUAAUCCACUAAUUCCUGUUUACCAAAAUUAUAACCCCCCAAAAAAUAAAACCUUUUUCCCCAACUUUUCGUACCCUGAUUAAAAGAAGGCAAGGAUUUCAAGCCAAGCCAAUGGCUAUCAAUCAGGCAACAAUGGUGUGUAUAAUCCUCAAUACUGAGACAUCAUCACAAUUCACAACUAAAAAAUUUCAGUGAAAAAAGGAGUGUCAUUUUCUUAACUAUUCCAAAAAUUUUGCUCUAAAAGAAAACCUUAAUUGCCUCUAUAAUAAAAACUUGCAUUUCUAACAUUUAAUACCCAAAUAGAAUCGCAAAAUUCGUCAAAAUUGAUGAAACAUGAUCGAUCAAGAAGGGUGACAAGAGGGAUUGGCAUGGAGAAUAAAUUUACCUGACGACAGUAAGUCCAGAAUUACCACAGAAAGUGCAGUUAAACGGAGCAGGAGUGUCCCGAUACAUCGUCUGUUGAAUCGGAAUUCCCUUUGGAUCGCCGAAGACAGCGUUUGGUGGGAUGGCUCCGGCUUGGUACGGGUUCUGGCCGGCGUAGUAAGGAACCCCGAUGGCAGGCUCAUCUUUUUGGCCCAUUGCUUAUGCUUUUGUGAAGCUUUUCUUGGAUUGGAGACAGACGGAGGAGGCAAGAUUGAUUCUUCAAAUGAAUUAAUGAACAAUAGGAUGUUGAUUGACCGAUGGAGGUGGGAAGAACAAAGAAAAUAAAGCCGCGUUUUAUAAUUAAGCAAAGUUAUUGACGUUCAAGGCAGGCUCUAAAUAUGAUUGGUUUGUGUGCAUAAGAAAUUAAUAAUUAUUUCUUGAAACAAACGAAAUGUCGUUUUCUUUCCAGAGAAUUGACUUGGAAGGCACGAACCAGGAAGCUGCAUUCUUCACCUCUCGCUGUUAAUGCCUGUGACCAAGGUCUUCAUCAAUGUUGAGUCAAGAUGCAAAAGGAAAACGAUAAAAAUUUUCCAUAACAGAAAAUUCUUAAAAAUCCAAAUUGGCAUGAACGAGGAAGCUUCCACUUCGACAUGUCUCCCCCAUUAGUCCAAAAAAAGGAAAAU
Molecule: unclassified non-coding RNA, 2261 nt
Filed under: Hevea brasiliensis (rubber tree)
Lineage: Eukaryota; Viridiplantae; Streptophyta; Magnoliopsida; Malpighiales; Euphorbiaceae
Source: RNAcentral